UUGGAGAGACAGAAGUUAAGGGAUGGAGAGGCCAGUGAUGAAGAAGAGGAGUAUGAGGCCAAAGAAAUAGAAGUAGAGGAGUUGUUGGAUGUUUCUGAGGAGGUUCUUUCAUUUGAAUUUGGACAGGAGUAAGCGGUAUUGGUAAUAUACUCAGAACUCAUACAUCCUCUGUUCAAGGUUAAAUUCAACUAGAAGCACCGAAGUUGUGGGAGAUACACGAAACGCUUGGCUUUGGGAUUUGGUAUUUUAGUUUCGGUGUUUG
RNAcentral lists this unclassified non-coding RNA (262 nucleotides) under Hevea brasiliensis (rubber tree). Lineage: Eukaryota; Viridiplantae; Streptophyta; Magnoliopsida; Malpighiales; Euphorbiaceae. The record is from RNAcentral.